UCAGACUUACUUAAUGGCAUUGAUAUUUAUACCUCUAGAAAUUCAUCUGUGCUACCUGUCCAAGUCUGUGUGAACUCAUGUCUGUUAACAACAAUCCACAUACUGAUCUUGGUGUUUCCUCAUUCUACUCUUAGAAUAGUUUUAAGUUUUUCUUUGAAGUUCCGUGACUUGUCAUAAAAAAAACAAAAAACAAAAAACAACAAACGAACAAAAAAACAGUCAACAUUAAAUUUGCCUCUCAUCAGUCACCAAAUAUCUCUUCAAAUCUUGCUAACUUUACAUUAACCCUUAAUAUAUACUUUUAAAGACAAUAAUAAUACAAAAUUCCACACUGAUUUUCUGUUCACUUUCUAUAAAAUUCAUGGACUAUGAAAAAGAACUCUUAACUCUUGCUUAUUUUGUCAAAUGAUGUUUCUAUACUUAAUUCCUGUUGAAACGAUCUUUUCUGACAGAAGGAUCAUUUCUGGAUUGACAUAGAGCUGGGAUUUUUGUUUUCAAAAGAAGAUUAAAACAUGACCUAAAGAAAGCCAUUUCCCUGGCAGUACUGAAUACUGAUUGGAGUAGAGAUAAAUGUGUGAAUAUAUUUACAUACAGGUUCAAAAUACAAGCCUAAAUGUGAUGAAAAGGAAAAACAAUGCUGCACUGACAUUCGAGAAGGUUCCUUUCAACAGUUUUCCUAUUUUUCCUUUAUAAAGACAAGUCAGUAACUAAAAGGGAUGAAUACUGGAAUUUUUAGACAUAUUUCCAUGAAACAGAAGUCAAGUCCAAACGCAGGUGCUUGAAGAUAAAAGAAGAAUGACAUUUGAGAAGAAAAAGAAAAGAAAAAUCAAGAUUAAAAAUGCCAUUGCUGAAUCUGACAUCACUUGCAAAUUGAAUCCUGGGCACAUGUGAAUUAAUAAGAUCCGAUGAGACCUGACAGACUUUCACCAAUAGCAGAAUAUACACAUAUUGCUGUUAGUGUUGCUGCAG
Molecule: long non-coding RNA, 969 nt
Filed under: Phasianus colchicus (ring-necked pheasant)
Lineage: Eukaryota; Metazoa; Chordata; Aves; Galliformes; Phasianidae
Description: lncRNA (ENSPCLG00000020449.1)
Source: RNAcentral